Molecule: ribosomal RNA, 143 nt
Filed under: uncultured bacterium
Lineage: Bacteria
Description: partial 16S ribosomal RNA
Rfam family: Bacterial small subunit ribosomal RNA
Source: RNAcentral
CAGCAGUGGGGGAUAUUGCACAAUGGGGGGAACCCUGAUGCAGCGACGCCGCGUGGGUGAAGAAGCGCCUCGGCGCGUAAAGCCCUGUCAGCAGGGAAGAAAAUGACGGUACCUGAAGAAGAAGCCCCGGCUAACUACGUGCC